GGUGUUUCUCAGGUGACACACCCCAGAAUUAGGCUCCCUCCUCUUUGGUUCUGGGUGUGUCACCUGAGAACUACA
Myotis brandtii (Brandt's bat) is the source of this 75-nucleotide non-coding RNA. The record is from Rfam. NCBI's taxonomy places the organism in Eukaryota, Metazoa, Chordata, Mammalia, Chiroptera, Vespertilionidae.